This 1882-nucleotide long non-coding RNA is filed under the name Gallus gallus (chicken). RNAcentral's name for it is "lncRNA (ENSGALG00010029968.1)". Lineage: Eukaryota; Metazoa; Chordata; Aves; Galliformes; Phasianidae. The record is from RNAcentral.
CUGAGUUCAUUUGGAUUAAUGACCUGUGGAGUGCCCUCUCCCACCACUGAAUGUGAAUGCAGAAGGGCCAACAGUGGCUAAUCUUUAGUUUUAUUUAAAAAAAAAACAAAAACAAAAAACAAAAAGGAAGAGGUCCCCCCAUGUUUCAGAGAAGGGUUAAUGCUACUGCUGUUUGCCAUUGGUGUCCUGCGCCUAUGAAUUAUGCCACAUGUUCUACCAUGUCUUCCAUCUGCCAUUCUCCCAUAUGUAAUAGCCACACGUGGACAGAGUUACCACAGCCAUAAAUCCCCCUUCACCCCACCAUCCACCAUCAGUAAACAAAUGGCUUUGAAAGGGAGUGCAGCAACUUUAACAAAGGAAAAAGAACCAACACAACAAAAUAAAACCACAAAGGUGAAACCAAAACAGUUCCUCCAGAACAGAGCAAUGCACAACAGCCUCGCAUGGACCUUGCAGCGUUUUGCAACCCCAGGGCACAGCUCGAUGGGUCUGAUGCCAUCCCUUGGUGCAAGAUUCCUUGUUCCACGUUCUGGGGCACUGGGAGGUGGUUCCAGAUAGGUUUCAAAUGUGAGUUAUCUUGAUGCUUUGAGGCUGUAGUGGCCAGGUGCAUGCAGGGCCACCAAUCUCCAUGCUGCUUCCCAGCAGAGCAUCCCCAUCUCUACCCUCCGUCUGCAGGUCGUGUUCUCUGCAUGCUGCCCUUGGACCUCUUGGCAUGAAACGGCUGAUGGGGGUGCACAGAGUGCACGCCGUGCCCAAAAUACAUCUCCAUUGCUCAUGGGGAAGUCAUGGGAGGUCUUUCUGUAAUGGUGGUGAAUCAGUCCUGCAUUGGGUCAGUACAGCUGCACGCAGCCUGUGUGGCAGGGCACAGCUCAACCAACAGCCAAGUCCUGACACCAGUGCCAUCCUGACCACCAGCAUCCAGAGAGAAGUGAUGGCAGCGCCCACCUUCAUCUCUGAGACAGGAGCUCCAGGAUGGGAAAUCACAAUGGAGUGAAGCUGGAUAAAGUUUUAAACGACUGGAAACUGAUGCCUGCAAUGGAAAGUGUGGAACAGCCUAUCUGGUAGGUAUUAGAUGUGGUUCCACCCCACAGAUGUCUUUAUGGUAAGCUGAACACUGUGUUGGGAAUGCGGGAGGAGGAAGACGUGGAUCUCUUCACCCCCUUCCACCUGAGAUUUGUACUUGGAGUUAGCAGGGAGGCUUGUUUCUGCACUGAGCCUCCAGUUUGGCAGCUGAAACACUGCAUCUUUUCCUAUCUGUCCUCAGCUUCAGUAGUUCUUUGAACAGACCUUCUGAGUACAUCAGUAAGUGCCAUUAGAAAGUGCCUGAGACCUUGGUGAGAUCAGGUAAAAUGUACCUAAGACCUCCAUACAGCCACCAGCUGGCUUCUGUUAGGAAAUCCCCUGUCCUGCCAUAUUUUGUUGUCUCCCUCUCCCAUUGAGUGCAUCAAAGUACAGGUGAGGUCCCCAGGCUGCAUGUCCUGCUGGUGCCACAUGCUGUGAGCCCUGCUCAGCCUCUUCACACCCUCAGUGGGGCUGGGAGAAUUGGUCCGUGCUGCCGCCUGGAUCCUGCAAGUGCUCACCAGGACACUUUGCAGCGGUUCUGCUGCUGCCAGGCAGCUCCUGCUGGGCUCUCUGAGAUCAUGGCAGUGGGUAGGAGGGUGCUCAGAGGGGACACGAAGGCACCAUUCAAAGGGUGUCUGCAGUACUCGUGCCCAGGGCAGGCUCAGCAGGUCAGUACAGUGCAUCUCGCUCUGUGUCUUUGGUGGCAGGUUUGCAAUAGAAGACCUUUUGUUGAAGAGUGGCAUAAUGGAGUCCUUGUUUGCUGCUGUUCCUCUCCAUCUGCUUGCUCCCUACAUUCACAGUCCGGUCCUCUUCAGUCCCU